AGUGGAGGACACACUUUAAACUUCAUGGAAGAGGGAAGGGGAGAUGGUGCGAUGCAGAGUGAGGCUCAGAGAACAUCAGGAUGAUGUUGAAUUGACCAAUAGCAGUGGAAAGGGGGAGAUGAGCGGCGUGUACUCGGACACCGCACAUCAGCAUUGUGGACGACCCGCACCGUUACUCACCUUGACUCCUCACACUCACAGAAAGGAUCUGCUGUGAGAAAACGAUGGAAAAAUGAGGGCGAGACAGAAGUUACACAAAACAGCUUAAGAAGCUAUUAAUUGCUCAUCCAGGAAAUCAGAAAAGCGCAAACGUUUCUCUAGACUGUUAACAGCCUCGGAGCCUCCGCCAAAAUGCAGACUAAUAAUUUCACUUUACUUUCACUCGUUUUACUUUUUCUCCUCGAUGGUAUGAAUGAAAUCGAGGGUGUUUUAGAGAGUCCUGAAAUCAGCGUGAAUCCAUCUUCAGUGUCUGAGGGACAGUCUCUCAGGGUCACCUGUGAGGCCCCUUCAUAUCAAAGAAGUUUCCAGUGGUUUCUGUACAGAAACACAGAGGACAGUCCCUUCAUGAAAGGCACAGACUCUGGGAGUAUGUGUGACUUCACAGUCACUGGGACAAAGCUUCUUCAGGGAAAAACAUCCAAUGGAAUUUACACUGCUGUGGAGCUCAGCUGUGAGUACAGGGAUGGAGCCACUAGCUCUCAGAGGAGUAAAAGGAUGGAAGUCAAAGUGCUGGGUUCAUUGCAACCUCCCCAUCUGAAUGUCAGCUCCACUAACACCACAAAGACAGACUCAGUGCAGCUGAGCUGUGAGACUCCUCAGUCUGUCUCAGUGUCUCGUUGUCAGUUCCUGUCGGAUGGACAAACUGUCGGGGAGACGUCUUCACCCUGUCGGCGCUCCAUCACCGGGACUCAGCUGCUCAGGGGGACGAUCCACUCUGGCGACGCUCAGAUUGUAGUUCAGUGUCUGUACACUGCGGACAUAAAUGGGAUUAAUAUACCAUCACCAUCACCGCGCAGUAACAGUAUCACAGUGACAGUGACGGGGUUCCCGAUGAACUCCACAUCCGAUCCAGUGUCCACAACAAGUAAUCCAAGAUCAAAUGGGUUUAUAUGUCUUCACAGAUCUCUUACAUACUGAAUUAACGUAAUUAAGGGGUAACUAAUAGUAAUUGAUCACAUUUUCACUGUUUUGUUCCUCUCUGGUAGAUCUGACAGCUGUGAUCAAUGUGAGCAGCACAUUACUGCCUGAAAAUAGCUUUGUCGGUGUUACCUGUGCUGCUCCACGCACGGUGCGAGAGGCCACCUGGAGGCUCUACAGAGACGCACAUACAUCUCCGGUCCUCACACGGACUGGGAAGGGGAAUCUAUUUCGGUUCUCAGUGACUAGGAGGAACCUUCUUCAGGGAGAAACACACACUGAUGCGUACACUGUUGUACAGCUGAGCUGUGAAUACACUGAUAGCGACUCAAACACCGUCUCUCAGCGGAGCAGCAGGCGGCAGAUGAUGGUCCUGGGUAAGACGGGA
This 1525-nucleotide long non-coding RNA is filed under the name Scleropages formosus (Asian bonytongue). Its description in RNAcentral is "lncRNA (ENSSFOG00015027398.1)". Lineage: Eukaryota; Metazoa; Chordata; Actinopteri; Osteoglossiformes; Osteoglossidae. The record is from RNAcentral.